UGGGGAAUUUUGGACAAUGGGCGGAAGCCUGAUCCAGCCAUGCCGCGUGAGUGAAGAAGGCCUUCGGGUUGUAAAGCUCUUUCGGCGGGGAAGAAAUUGCUUGGGUUAAUACCCUGAGUAGAUGACGGUACCCGAAUAAGAAGCACCGGCUAACUACGUGCCAGCAGCCGCGGUAAUACGUAGGGUGCGAGCGUUAAUCGGAAUUACUGGGCGUAAAGCGUGCGCAGGCGGUUUUGUAAGUCAGAUGUGA
Molecule: ribosomal RNA, 250 nt
Filed under: uncultured bacterium
Lineage: Bacteria
Description: partial 16S ribosomal RNA
Rfam family: Bacterial small subunit ribosomal RNA
Source: RNAcentral